RNAcentral lists this transfer RNA (76 nucleotides) under Spirochaetia bacterium. RNAcentral's name for it is "tRNA-Ala". It matches the Rfam family "tRNA". From Rfam's summary of the family: Transfer RNA (tRNA) molecules are approximately 80 nucleotides in length. Their secondary structure includes four short double-helical elements and three loops (D, anti-codon, and T loops). The record is from RNAcentral. Lineage: Bacteria; Pseudomonadati; Spirochaetota; Spirochaetia.
UGGGGGUAUAGCUCAGUUGGCUAGAGCGUUUGAAUGGCAUUCAAAAGGUCGUCGGUUCAAUUCCGACUACCUCCAG